AGCAGCCGCGGUAAUUCCAGCUCCAAUAGCGUAUAUUAAAGUUGUUGCAGUUAAAAAGCUCGUAGUUGAACUUCGGGGUUCACCCAUUGGUCAGGCUUAAUUGUCUGUACUGGUGAGAUGAGUCUCUACCUUCUGAGGAACUUUCAUGCCAUUUAUUUGGUGUGAUGGGAAAUCAGGACUGUUACUUUGAAAAAUUAGAGUGUUUAAAGCAGGCUAACGUCUGAAUACAUUAGCAUGGAAUAAUGAAAUAGGACGGAUUGAUUCUAUUUCGUUGGUUUCUAGGGUCACCGUAAUGAUUAAUAGGGAUAGUUGGGGGCAUUAGUAUUCAAUUGUCAGAGGUGAAAUUCUUGGAUUUAUUGAAGACUAACUACUGCGAAAGCAUUUGCCAAGGAUGUUUUCAUUAAUCAAGAACGAAAGUUAGGGGAUCGAAGACGAUCAGAUACCGUCGUAGUCUUAACCAUAAACUAUGCCGACUAGGGAUCGGACGCAGUUAAUUUUAUAAUGACGUGUUCGGCACCGU
This 520-nucleotide ribosomal RNA is filed under the name uncultured Diversispora. RNAcentral describes it as "SSU rRNA". It matches the Rfam family "Eukaryotic small subunit ribosomal RNA", at positions 569 to 1089 of the family's 1831-position model. Lineage: Eukaryota; Fungi; Glomeromycota; Glomeromycetes; Diversisporales; Diversisporaceae. The record is from RNAcentral.